This 730-nucleotide ribosomal RNA is filed under the name uncultured bacterium. RNAcentral's name for it is "bacterial SSU rRNA". It matches the Rfam family "Bacterial small subunit ribosomal RNA", at positions 771 to 1501 of the family's 1533-position model. The record is from RNAcentral.
AACAGGAUUAGAUACCCUGGUAGUCCACGCCGUAAACGAUGUCGACUUGGAGGUUGUGCCCUUGAGGCGUGGCUUCCAGAGCUAACGCGUUAAGUCGACCGCCUGGGGAGUACGGCCGCAAGGUUAAAACUCAAAUGAAUUGACGGGGGCCCGCACAAGCGGUGGAGCAUGUGGUUUAAUUCGAUGCAACGCGAAGAACCUUACCUGGUCUUGACAUCCACAGAACUUUCCAGAGAUGGAUUGGUGCCUUCGGGAACUGUGAGACAGGUGCUGCAUGGCUGUCGUCAGCUCGUGUUGUGAAAUGUUGGGUUAAGUCCCGCAACGAGCGCAACCCUUAUCCUUUGUUGCCAGCGGUCCGGCCGGGAACUCAAAGGAGACUGCCAGUGAUAAACUGGAGGAAGGUGGGGAUGACGUCAAGUCAUCAUGGCCCUUACGACCAGGGCUACACACGUGCUACAAUGGCGCAUACAAAGAGAAGCGACCUCGCGAGAGCAAGCGGACCUCAUAAAGUGCGUCGUAGUCCGGAUUGGAGUCUGCAACUCGACUCCAUGAAGUCGGAAUCGCUAGUGAUCGUGGAUCAGAAUGCCACGGUGAAUACGUUCCCGGGCCUUGUACACACCGCCCGUCACACCAUGGGAGUGGGUUGCAAAAGAAGUAGGUAGCUUAACCUUCGGGAGGGCGCUUACCACUUUGUGAUUCAUGACUGGGGUGAAGUCGUAACAAGGUAACC